AUCACAUUUGAGAUUUUUUUGCUUGCACACCGGUACAGUUUUUGCGGGGAAGUGAAAGUUAUUGGAAUUUUGUCUUCUUCUAAAAACAAGUGUCUGCUACAUGUAGUUGCAGUCUGUCUUUGGAAGCUGUUGAAGUAACAAGAAAGAGGCUACAUUGACAUCCUGUUUUGGUAGGGAGAAGUUUGAGUAUGUACAGUUGUUUGACCUGUCUUAUCAUGUGGCAGUCCCAGAAGAUGUUACCAUUAUGAAUAAAUGCAGG
This is a long non-coding RNA of Mercenaria mercenaria, 259 nucleotides long. RefSeq lists it as uncharacterized. Lineage: Eukaryota; Metazoa; Mollusca; Bivalvia; Venerida; Veneridae. The record is from RefSeq and is a predicted model, not a curated record. The transcript has 3 exons.